Molecule: long non-coding RNA, 279 nt
Filed under: Nicotiana benthamiana
Lineage: Eukaryota; Viridiplantae; Streptophyta; Magnoliopsida; Solanales; Solanaceae
Description: long non-coding RNA (NBEN_LNC038680)
Source: RNAcentral
UCUUUUUGUACAAAUGAAGAUGAAAGCUGGUAUUAAUUAUUGGGGUUUGAUAAUUCUCUUAAAUUCUGCACCAAAAUAUGCAGCUUCUUGUUUACGAGUUACGUAGAUUCAGGCAUUCAGCUUUCUUCCAACUCAAGUUCCUUGACUUUGUGUACAAAUGGUGAUCAUUGAUUCAAACAAAUUGGUAGAACCCGACAAAGAAGAAAAUUUAAUCUUCAAUAUGACUAUGGUUUUUGUUUUUUCUCUUCAUUUUUUUCAUUCUGUUUUUCUUUUUUUUUU